Molecule: ribosomal RNA, 497 nt
Filed under: uncultured bacterium
Lineage: Bacteria
Description: partial 16S ribosomal RNA
Rfam family: Bacterial small subunit ribosomal RNA
Source: RNAcentral
GAUGAACGCUGGCGGCGUGCCUAAUACAUGCAAGUCGAGCGAACAGACGAGGAGCUUGCUCCUCUGACGUUAGCGGCGGACGGGUGAGUAACACGUGGAUAACCUACCUAUAAGACUGGGAUAACUUCGGGAAACCGGAGAUAAUACCGGAUAAUAUAUUGAACCGCAUGGUUCAAUAGUGAAAGACGGUUUUGCUGUCACUUAUAGAUGGAUCCGCGCCGCAUUAGCUAGUUGGUAAGGUAACGGCUUACCAAGGCAACGAUGCGUAGCCGACCUGAGAGGGUGAUCGGCCACACUGGAACUGAGACACGGUCCAGACUCCUACGGGAGGCAGCAGUAGGGAAUCUUCCGCAAUGGGCGAAAGCCUGACGGAGCAACGCCGCGUGAGUGAUGAAGGUCUUCGGAUCGUAAAACUCUGUUAUUAGGGAAGAACAAAUGUGUAAGUAACUAUGCACGUCUUGACGGUACCUAAUCAGAAAGCCACGGCUAACUACGUG